UGAUCCUGGCUCAGACGAACGCUGGCGGCGUGCUUAACACAUGCAAGUCGAACGAGAAAUUACCUUCGGGUAAUGGACAGUGGCAGACGGGUGAGUAACGCGUGGCAACCUACCUUUCAGUAAGGGACAACAGUUGGAAACGACUGCUAAUACGUUAUACGUCCUCCGGGAGAAAGAUUUAUCGCUGAUAGAUGGGGCCGCGUUAGAUUAGCUUGUUGGUGAGGUAAUGGCUCACCAAGGCGACGAUCUAUAGCGGGUCUGAGAGGAUGAUCCGCCACACUGGGACUGAGACACGGCCCAGACUCCUACGGGAGGCAGCAGUGGGGAAUAUUGGACAAUGGGGGCAACCCUGAUCCAGCAACGCCGCGUGAAUGAUGAAGGCCUUAGGGUUGUAAAAUUCUUUCGCUAGGGAAGAUAAUGACUGUACCUAGUAAAGAAGCCCCGGCUAACUCCGUGCCAGCAGCCGCGGUAAUACGGAGGGGGCUAGCGUUGUUCGGAAUUACUGGGCGUAAAGCGUGCGUAGGCGGAUUAAUAAGUUAGAUGUGAAAUCCCAGGGCUCAACCCUGGAACUGCAUUUAAAACUGUUAGUCUUGAGUUCUGGAGAGGUAAGUGGAAUUCCUAGUGUAGAGGUGAAAUUCGUAGAUAUUAGGAGGAACACCAGAGGCGAAGGCGGCUUACUGGACAGAUACUGACGCUGAGGCACGAAAGUGUGGGGAGCAAACAGGAUUAGAUACCCUGGUAGU
This 743-nucleotide ribosomal RNA is filed under the name uncultured marine bacterium. Its description in RNAcentral is "bacterial SSU rRNA". It matches the Rfam family "Bacterial small subunit ribosomal RNA", at positions 14 to 794 of the family's 1533-position model. The record is from RNAcentral.